RNAcentral lists this long non-coding RNA (1117 nucleotides) under Homo sapiens (human). Its description in RNAcentral is "HSALNT0314721". Lineage: Eukaryota; Metazoa; Chordata; Mammalia; Primates; Hominidae. The record is from RNAcentral.
CAAAAUGUUCACGGAGGGAAACCCUGGAAUCUCCCCCUGAAAACCUGUUAAUGUGGCUGAGAGCUCAAAACUGAAUCAUUGAAAACAGUAUAUUUUAUGGACAUAGAGAAAGAUGCUGCUUUUCUCCUGACAAUCUUCAAAGAGGGACCAGGUCAUGAUAAAGCAAAGCUGAAAGUCACUGCAGAGCAGAGAACAAAAGCAAAAGGAAGUUUUGCUGCUAACUGUCUCUAUCAAGUUUUUCUACAUUGAAGACAAACUGUGUAUGUGAUUUGUUCUCCUCAAAUGAGAUAUUCAGGGUACGUUGCUCAAAUAAAGAGGGCAAAGCGAUAUGGAGCACAUAGAAAAGAAGAGCGUUUACAUUGAAAGUGAAUUCCGGAGCAAGGAAGUUAUUGGCAUUCGUUUAGUGUACCACAAUGCUAGGGCUGAGGCCUCCGGGAUCCUCUGGGCCUUUUUCAUGGUUGAAAAAUGACAGUGGCAGCUUCAUUCCUUGUGCCCAGUUCCAGAGAGGAGGAAUGAGAAAGGAGCAAGAAGAAAAGGCUGACAUCUAUGGGAAGCCAAACUUUUUCAGGAAUCCCCUGCUCAGCACAAUCAUAACUACAUAGAUGAUUACAGUUGUAUGUUCGGAGAAAAAGAGGAGAGAGAAGACUAAGACUCAUAGGAAAGAAUCCUGCUUUUAUUAAUCAUUCAUACAUAUUUUCAUUUAUGUUUUGAAAGCCAACAACAUACCAGGCUGUCUGUUUGGCACUUAAUAUCUUCAGUCUGACCGAUACCAACUUCGGUUUUCUUGUGGAAAAAAUAAGGAUGUGCUCCUCCUGGGCAUUCAGAAUCCAGCAGGAACACUAUCGCCUCUAUGAACCCCAUACCAGCCCAGGCUAAGUAAGAUGCUGUGGUAGAUUACAUUUUCCAAAGAUGGCUACACCAAGAUAUAUCCUGCCCCACAUAUCCUUCUUAUACCAUGACACUGACACGUCUCCAUCAAGAGAUGAGAUCCUUGUUCCCCUACCUUGACCUGGGUGGACCUUUGUAACUGCCUCAAACAACAGUGUGACAGAAGUGCAUGACCUCUCAGAUGUAUUUGUCGGGGUUUUCCAGAGAAACAGAAUCAAUAGGAUGUAUG